CGGUAACAGGAAGAAGCUUGCUUCUUUGCUGACGAGUGGCGGACGGGUGAGUAAUGUCUGGGAAACUGCCUGAUGGAGGGGGAUAACUACUGGAAACGGUAGCUAAUACCGCAUAACGUCGCAAGACCAAAAAGGGGGACCUUCGGGCCUCUUGCCAUCGGAUGUGCCCAGAUGGGAUUAGCUAGUAGGUGGGGUAACGGCUCACCUAGGCGACGAUCCCUAGCUGGUCUGAGAGGAUGACCAGCCACACUGGAACUGAGACACGGUCCAGACUCCUACGGGAGGCAGCAGUGGGGAAUAUUGCACAAUGGGCGCAAGCCUGAUGCAGCCAUGCCGCGUGUAUGAAGAAGGCCUUCGGGUUGUAAAGUACUUUCAGCGGGGAGGAAGGGAGUAAAGUUAAUACCUUUGCUCAUUGACGUUACCCGCAGAAGAAGCACCGGCUAACUCCGUGCCAGCAGCCGCGGUAAUACGGAGGGUGCAAGCGUUAAUCGGAAUUACUGGGCGUAAAGCGCACGCAGGCGGUUUGUUAAGUCAGAUGUGAAAUCCCCGGGCUCAACCUGGGAACUGCAUCUAAUACUGGCAAGCUUGAGUCUCGUAGAGGGGGGUAGAAUUCCAGGUGUAGCGGUGAAAUGCGUAGAGAUCUGGAGGAAUACCGGUGGCGAAGGCGG
RNAcentral lists this ribosomal RNA (668 nucleotides) under uncultured Pseudomonadota bacterium. Its description in RNAcentral is "bacterial SSU rRNA". It matches the Rfam family "Bacterial small subunit ribosomal RNA", at positions 67 to 724 of the family's 1533-position model. The record is from RNAcentral. Lineage: Bacteria; Pseudomonadati; Pseudomonadota.